Molecule: small nuclear RNA, 165 nt
Filed under: Kryptolebias marmoratus (mangrove rivulus)
Lineage: Eukaryota; Metazoa; Chordata; Actinopteri; Cyprinodontiformes; Rivulidae
Description: U1 spliceosomal RNA (ENSKMAG00000012602.1)
Rfam family: U1 spliceosomal RNA
About the family: U1 is a small nuclear RNA (snRNA) component of the spliceosome (involved in pre-mRNA splicing). Its 5' end forms complementary base pairs with the 5' splice junction, thus defining the 5' donor site of an intron. There are significant differences in sequence and secondary structure between metazoan and yeast U1 snRNAs, the latter being much longer (568 nucleotides as compared to 164 nucleotides in human).
Source: Rfam by way of RNAcentral
AUACUUAACUGGCAGGAGUGACACCAUGAUCAUGGAGGUGGACCACUCAGGGAGAGACUCACCCAAUGCACUCUAGGCUGUUCUGACCUUUGCGAAUUCCCCAAAUGUGGGAAUCUCGACUGCACAAUUUCUAGGGGUGGGGGACUGCGUUCGCGCUCUCCUCUA